RNAcentral lists this ribosomal RNA (320 nucleotides) under uncultured eukaryote. RNAcentral's name for it is "partial 18S ribosomal RNA". It matches the Rfam family "Eukaryotic small subunit ribosomal RNA", at positions 1470 to 1796 of the family's 1831-position model. The record is from RNAcentral.
CCCCUAGAUGUUCUGGGCCGCACGCGCGCUACACUGAACAGUUCAACAAGUCUUAACCUUGGCCGAUAGGUCUGGGUAAUCUUUGAACGCUGUUCGUGAUUGGGAUAGACCUUUGCAAUUAUGGGUCUUCAACGAGGAAUUCCUAGUAAACGCAAGUCAUCAGCUUGCAUUGAUUACGUCCCUGCCCUUUGUACACGCCGCCCGUCGCACCUACCGAUUGAAUGGUCCGGUGAAAUCUCGGGACGGCGGCUUGGUCGCUUGCGUCCGACUGCUGAAACUUGAUUAAACCAUAUCAUUUAGAGGAAGGUGAAGUCGUANCA